CAGCAGCCACGGUAAUACGGAGGGAGCUAGCGUUAUUCGGAAUUGCUGGGCGUAAAGCGCACGUAGGCGGCUUUGUAAGUUAGAGGUGAAAGCCUGGAGCUCAACUCCAGAAUUGCCUUUAAGACUGCAUCGCUUGAAUCCAGGAGAGGUGAGUGGAAUUCCGAGUGUAGAGGUGAAAUUCGUAGAUAUUCGGAAGAACACCAGUGGCGAAGGCGGCUCACUGGACUGGUAUUGACGCUGAGGUGCGAAAGCGUGGGGAGCAAACAGGAUUAGAUACCCGCGUAGUCCCUGUCUCUUAUAC
RNAcentral lists this ribosomal RNA (301 nucleotides) under uncultured bacterium. RNAcentral's name for it is "partial 16S ribosomal RNA". It matches the Rfam family "Bacterial small subunit ribosomal RNA", at positions 509 to 807 of the family's 1533-position model. The record is from RNAcentral.